UGAGUAACACGUAUCCAACCUGCCGUCUACUCUUGGACAGCCUUCUGAAAGGAAGAUUAAUACAAGAUGGCAUCAUGAGUUCACAUGUUCACAUGAUUAAAGGUAUUCCGGUAGACGAUGGGGAUGCGUUCCAUUAGAUAGUAGGCGGGGUAACGGCCCACCUAGUCUUCGAUGGAUAGGGGUUCUGAGAGGAAGGUCCCCCACAUUGGAGCUGAGACACGGUCCAA
Molecule: ribosomal RNA, 227 nt
Filed under: uncultured bacterium
Lineage: Bacteria
Description: partial 16S ribosomal RNA
Rfam family: Bacterial small subunit ribosomal RNA
Source: RNAcentral